This 419-nucleotide ribosomal RNA is filed under the name Candidatus Phytoplasma prunorum. Its description in RNAcentral is "bacterial SSU rRNA". It matches the Rfam family "Bacterial small subunit ribosomal RNA", at positions 357 to 775 of the family's 1533-position model. The record is from RNAcentral. Lineage: Bacteria; Bacillati; Mycoplasmatota; Mollicutes; Acholeplasmatales; Acholeplasmataceae.
AGGAAUUUUCGGCAAUGGAGGAAACUCUGACCGAGCAACGCCGCGUGAACGAURAAGUAUUUAGGUACGUAAAGUUCUUUUAUUAAAGAAGAAAAAAUGAUGGAAAAAUCAUUCUGACGGUAUUUAAUGAAUAAGCCCCGGCUAACUAUGUKCCAGCAGCUGCGGUAAUACAUGGGGGGCAAGCGUUAUCCGGAUUUAUUGGGCGUAAAKGGUGSGUAGGCGGUUAAAUAAGUCUAUGGUAUAAGUUCAACGCUUAACGUUGUGAUGCUAUAGAAACUGUUUGACUAGAGUUGGAUAGAGGCAAGUGGAAUUCCAUGUGUAGCGGUAAAAUGCGUAAAUAUAUGGAGGAACACCAGUAGCGAAGGCGGCUUGCUGGGUCUUAACUGACGCUGAGGCACGAAAGCGUGGGGAGCAAACRG